This is a non-coding RNA of Caenorhabditis elegans, 21 nucleotides long. The record is from Ensembl. Lineage: Eukaryota; Metazoa; Nematoda; Chromadorea; Rhabditida; Rhabditidae.
UCGAGUAACCAUUGGAUACGU